Molecule: ribosomal RNA, 497 nt
Filed under: uncultured bacterium
Lineage: Bacteria
Description: bacterial SSU rRNA
Rfam family: Bacterial small subunit ribosomal RNA
Source: RNAcentral
AAAUGAAUAGACGGGGGCCCGCACAAGCGGUGGAGCAUGUGGUUUAAUUCGAUGCAACGCGAAGAACCUUACCAGGGCUUGACAUCUUGCGAAUCCUGUGGAAACACGGGAGUGCCCAUAUGGGAGCGCAAAGACAGGUGGUGCAUGGUUGUCGUCAGCUCGUGUCGUGAGAUGUUGGGUUAAGUCCCGCAACGAGCGCAACCCUUGCCCUUAGUUGCCAGCACAUAUUGGUGGGCACUCUAAGGGGACUGCCGGUGACAAACCGGAGGAAGGUGGGGAUGACGUCAAAUCAUCAUGCCCUUUAUGCCCUGGGCUACACACGUGCUACAAUGGCCGGUACAGAGGGUAGCGAACCCGCGAGGGGGAGCCAAUCCCACAAAACCGGCCCAAGUUCGGAUUGCAGGCUGCAACCCGCCUGCAUGAAGUCGGAAUCGCUAGUAAUCGCGGAUCAGAAUGCCGCGGUGAAUACGUUCCCGGGCCUUGUACACACCGCCCGU